Molecule: ribosomal RNA, 497 nt
Filed under: uncultured bacterium
Lineage: Bacteria
Description: partial 16S ribosomal RNA
Rfam family: Bacterial small subunit ribosomal RNA
Source: RNAcentral
GAUGAACGCUGGCGGCGUGCCUAAUACAUGCAAGUCGAGCGAACGGACGAGAAGCUUGCUUCUCUGAUGUUAGCGGCGGACGGGUGAGUAACACGUGGAUAACCUACCUAUAAGACUGGGAUAACUUCGGGAAACCGGAGCUAAUACCGGAUAAUAUUUUGAACCGCAUGGUUCAAAAGUGAAAGACGGUCUUGCUGUCACUUAUAGAUGGAUCCGCGCUGCAUUAGCUAGUUGGUAAGUUAACGGCUUACCAAGGCAACGAUGCAUAGCCGACCUGAGGGGGUGAUCGGCCACACUGGAACUGAGACACGGUCCAGACUCCUACGGGAGGCAGCAGUAGGGAAUAUUCCGCAAUGGGCGAAAGCCUGACGGAGCAACGCCGCGUGAGUGAUGAAGGUCUUCGGAUCGUAAAACUCUGUUAUUAGGGAAGAACAUAUGUGUAAGUAACUGUGCACAUCUUGACGGUACCUAAUCAGAAAGCCACGGCUAACUACGUG